UACGUAGGGGGCAAGCGUUGUCCGGAAUCAUUGGGCGUAAAGAGCGCGUAGGCGGCCCUGUAAGUCCGCUGUGAAAGUCAAGGGCUCAACCCUUGAAUGCCGGUGGAUACUGCAGGGCUAGAGUCCGGAAGAGGCGAGUGGAAUUCCGGGUGUAGCGGUGGAAUGCGUAGAGAUCCGGAAGAACACCGGUGGCGAAGGCGGGUCUCUGGGCCGAUACUGACGCUGAGGAGCGAAAGCGUGGGGAGCGAACAGG
This 253-nucleotide ribosomal RNA is filed under the name uncultured bacterium. RNAcentral's name for it is "partial 16S ribosomal RNA". It matches the Rfam family "Bacterial small subunit ribosomal RNA", at positions 524 to 776 of the family's 1533-position model. The record is from RNAcentral.